UGUCAGUCACACCAGAAGCCUGGACUCUCGGGGAGGGACGGAGCCUCCAUGUAGACUAUGGAGUACCUGCCUAGAAAAUCAGGACCUGGUUAUAGAUUCCAGGAUUGAAGGCAGAGAGAUCAAUGGGACUGGGAAAAUCCACACUCCACCAAGCCAAGUAGAAACACCAGCUUGUGAAGCAGAAAAACCAGAUUUUGAAACUGGGAGAGUCAAGGCAACCUACUGCUGCUAACGCUGAGGGCAGGGAUUUGUGAGUAACUUGAGUCUGACAUCGGAAAUUGUUAAUAUCUCAUGGGUUAUCAUCUUUAAGAGAACAAGAAAAUAAAAUGUCAGGGUGCCUGGA
Leopardus geoffroyi (Geoffroy's cat) is the source of this 343-nucleotide long non-coding RNA. RefSeq lists it as uncharacterized. The record is from RefSeq and is a predicted model, not a curated record. NCBI's taxonomy places the organism in Eukaryota, Metazoa, Chordata, Mammalia, Carnivora, Felidae. The transcript is spliced from 2 exons.